AGAGGCAGAGCUGCAGGAGAUGAAUGGACCAGUGAAGGAGAAAUAUACAGAGUUGGAAAACUAAAGCAACCUGGAACAUUAAAGGAAAUUUGAUUCAAAAAGUUAGGUGACACAGUUGACAGCUGAAUUUGUGAAAGAAACCCAGGAAACUAAUUUCUCCAGUUGCAACAGUAACACAAAGUGGACAGUGAAAAAGUUUACCAGGAUCUUGAUCAACUGGGCCAAUGGACCGAGAGAUGGCAGGGUGAGGACUAGAUGAAGAAGGAUGCAGUCAGGAGUUCAAAUGUGCAGAGACCAGCUGGUCAGCUAUCCCAUGAUGUCUACACAAAGGGAAAUGGUGGAUUACACUCAGCCUGUGGCUAACUGGAUACUUCAAAUUUUGACAAGUCCUGCAUAUGAAAUUUUAAGAGAACCAAUCAUUCAAAUCACAAAUAUGGACAAACAAUGGAACCAAAGUGAUAGCUGGAGGAACUGUUGGCUUGCGAUUCUACAAUCGGAAUCAUUACGCGGCUUUACUUUACUAAAUUACAGUUAAUUAACAGACAAGGUAGUUUGAAGGAAAUCAGUCCCCAAAUGAGAUAAAUUCCUUUAAAGCUUGC
This is a long non-coding RNA of Hemiscyllium ocellatum (epaulette shark), 599 nucleotides long. RefSeq lists it as uncharacterized. The record is from RefSeq and is a predicted model, not a curated record. Lineage: Eukaryota; Metazoa; Chordata; Chondrichthyes; Orectolobiformes; Hemiscylliidae. The transcript is spliced from 3 exons.